UAUCCGUAGGUGAACCUGCGGAAGGAUCAUUAACAAAUUCCAAAACACGCGUGUUUGAUGAAGACAUUGUGUGUGACGACGAUCAUCAAGGAGAGAGGAGGAGGAGACAAGAAUCGAGGUGUCCCCCAUGUUGGGCCAUCUUGCGUCUCUUUGACUGUCGUUGCUUGCAUGUCUGAAUCAGUUAACAACACACAACAACACUCACACUUUAAAAUUGACAACCAAGAGUAUAAUCUAAAACGUUAUAUAAAUCGAAACAACUUUUAACAAUGGAUCUCUCGGCUCUU
RNAcentral lists this unclassified non-coding RNA (287 nucleotides) under plant metagenome. RNAcentral's name for it is "partial contains small subunit ribosomal RNA, internal transcribed spacer 1, and 5.8S ribosomal RNA". The record is from RNAcentral.